RNAcentral lists this ribosomal RNA (486 nucleotides) under uncultured bacterium. RNAcentral's name for it is "bacterial SSU rRNA". It matches the Rfam family "Bacterial small subunit ribosomal RNA", at positions 30 to 507 of the family's 1533-position model. The record is from RNAcentral.
AUUGAACGCUGGCGGCAUGCCUUACACAUGCAAGUCGAACGGUAACAGGUCUUCGGAUGCUGACGAGUGGCGAACGGGUGAGUAAUACAGUCGGAACGUGCCCGAUCGUGGGGGAUAACGCAGCGAAAGCUGUGCUAAUACCGCAUACGAUCUACGGAUGAAAGCGGGGGAUCGCAAGACCUCGCGCGGACGGAGCGGCCGAUGGCAGAUUAGGUAGUUGGUGGGAUAAAAGCUUACCAAGCCGACGAUCUGUAGCUGGUCUGAGAGGACGACCAGCCACACUGGGACUGAGACACGGCCCAGACUCCUACGGGAGGCAGCAGGUGGGGAAUUUUGGACAAUGGGCGCAAGCCUGAUCCAGCCAUGCCGCGUGCAGGAUGAAGGCCUUCGGGUUAGUAAACUGCUUUUGUACGGAAACGAAAAAGCUCUCUCUAAUACAGGGGGUGAAUGACGGUACCGUAAGAAUAAGCACCGGCUAACUACGUG